This is a non-coding RNA of Xyrichtys novacula (pearly razorfish), 4393 nucleotides long. The record is from the annotation of a GenBank genome assembly. Lineage: Eukaryota; Metazoa; Chordata; Actinopteri; Labriformes; Labridae.
UUGCACACUUUGCAGCACGGGCUGGAGGUGAGUGCACGACAUCUGGUCAGUCAAUAUGUGCGCAUCUGGAUCAGAGGGCUCUGGUUUGGUCAGGAGCAGUAAAAUAGUUCCACUGACACCACAGACUUGAGGAUUAUCUGGACGAAUAAUCCGCCUUGAAUCAGGCCAAACCCCCUGAUCACUGAGGGCUGCAAAUCAGACCCCUAAUCUGUCCGGAAAUCAUCCAAAGUAUGGCCACUCUUAAGUAUCCUUGUGAAACAGCCAAUUUAAUGCAGCGAUUUAAACAUGACGAUUACUUCAACUCUUCCUCUAGACUUUUUUAAAACUUCUAUAAAACAAAACUUUGUCGUUGUUUGGCUGUCUGUUCUUUGGUGUUGGUCUGAUGUCUGUUUUUCUGUUUGGAAAGUAAAGGCGACCAAUCAGAAAUUUAAUGUUUCACUGAAACUCAAGUAUUGUAGAAAACCUGACAAUCUAUUGAAAGAUUGUCUCUGUCUGCACUUUUUUUACAGACCUUAGUGAUAAUUCUGGGGAAUGGAUUGCUGGUUGAGCUAUUGAUGAGCAUGCAAUAACAAUAAAUCAAACUUAUCUGAAAUGAUGAAAAGUGAAGGUUUGAAAAGCGUCAGAUGAGCUGAAUAUAACUAACUCAAGGCUAUGACUCAGAGUAAGACAUUUCCCUCAGACCAAAAUAAAAAAAAAAAUCAACAUUUAUCAGCCACAAAGAUCAUGUGUGAUUUAUUUGACGCCGUAUUUGCAAAUCCUCAUUAGAUCCUUUAAUAAAGAUGAACUCUGAUGGCACAGACAGCUUCGCCGAGCUCGCUCUGAACUCUCCUCCAGCCCGCUGACAGCUUGCUAAUCCUCCUCCUUCUCUCAUAUCAGCUUCUUCUGGAAUCACGGCUUAGUUUUCAUCAAGCCGGGCCGGCUGAUGGUAAUGAGCUUGGCAUUUCCAGAGCCAAACUGAUAGGAGUUGUAGUACAUAACAGUGAAGGACUAGUUUCCCCCUAAAAAACAUGCAUCACAGAGGUAAUAUCCGAGCAGUCUGAUCAGAUCUUUGCUUUUAAUUUGAAAUUGGCUGCGCCUCUAAAAUAAAACCCUCUCUCUGGGAUUCCUAAUGGAUUAAGAAAGCAGCAAUAAAAGCAUCUAUUAAUCUGAAGGGGGAUAAGUAAUUGCAGGUUUUUUGGGGGGCAUAUUGAAAUGUCAGAAUUUAAUACGACUGGCUGUGUUGUGCCUCUUCCCCACUGUGCCUCCCCUCUCUGCUGCUCUUAGAUAAUGAAACCCAACACGUACUUUAUAUUUGUCUCUGCAUUUCCACCCCAGCAGCCAGGACUCUGUGUGUGUGUGUGUGUGUGUCGGCCACGGUGCUGAGCAGUAGCGAUGGUCUAAGCUGUGCUGAUAGAUGGCUGGGCUGGAGGCUGCGAGGCGCUCCUGCUCGCCUCGGCUCCCACCGACAAAACGCGACCCCUUUAGCCCCGGGGUACAGCUUAGAAUGCGGCUAUUAGAGCAGUCCGGAAGAUUUCACGAGCUCGUUAUAGGCGAGGGUCGAGCACACAUGCACACAGACACACACACACACACACACAUAGGCAAGGCCAUGUACUGUAUGUGCACACAGACAUAGAGGCCACUUAGGAUGCAGGUCCAUGAGCAGAGAGGGCAGGAUUCAAGAAAACAACUGGAAAAACUCGUGAGUAAGAGCGAGGGAACGGCUACAGAAAUGGAUCCUAUUAUACACAAAACUGAGACAAUGAGAAGAUUUACAAUUUCAUAACAGCGGCAUCAUUAUAGAGGCGGCAGAUCUGCAGCAGAUUUACUCCUCAGGCAGGACGGCUUCUCAGGACUCGAACAGGUGCACUGUCAGAUUCGGUGCCCGUUAAUUAUGUUUGCUCGCGUAAGUGGAGCUUGUAAUUUUGUUUGCCUCCUCCAGUGGCGUUCGCAGCUUCUCUUGCAUUCACUUAAGUCACGGAGAGAAACAGACUCUGACGGCGCUGGAUGGCUGGACGGUAUUACUUUAUGUUAUUAAAUUUAUUAUGCAGGUCACUUUCAAUAAUGUUUGUUUAUUUGGGGUUUUAAUAGACACUUAUUACAGUGGCACCGCAAUGGAUGUAAGGUUUUCUUAAUCCUUCUCCAUCCCAGUUUAAUAAGUUUUACUGACACUGGCUAUACUAUGAAUCCCUAAAGCGCAUAUACAACAACGGCUCAUCUGCAUAUGUAUGAAUAUCACCGGAGAGCAGAGUGUUAAAGAGGAAGCCCAGAGCCACUGAGCAAUUAAAGGUUCACUCUCUGAAGGAGACUUAAAGGGGAGUUGACGUGUCCGGGGAGGUGGAGACCACCUUUGACCCGGAGCCUGUCCCAGUUUGAACAUCACGCAGUACGUUUACAUGACACUCAAGAAAACCGAAUUAUCGCCUUACUCCGAUUAAGACCGGAAAAAUAAAGUGCAUGUAAACACCUUAGUCUGACUAUAAUCGGAGUUUGAGAACUCCGAUUAAGACACCCAGAUAAUGCGAUUGGAAUUCGAUUUUCUCAACCAUAUAACCAGCGUAGUCGGAGUAUGAUGGACAACGCAUGUGUGCGUGCGCCUCCGUAACCCUGGAACAAAAACACCAGAGAAGAAGUGGCACUACUAUUUAAAGAACUUUCGACUCAGAAGCAACUGCAACAAAAGAAGGUCCACUUCUGAAACGAGGAGGAGAGUGCCGUUAUGCUCCCCUCCUGAAAGAAAUGGACAUUUUAAAGUAUACUGAUGGUCGCAAAAUGGGGAAAAGACCGCUGAAAAUACCCAUAUCGCCCCCUAGUUUUGGGGAGAAGGACACGUUCACAUCAAUAAUUCGAUUUUCUCAGCUGCAUGUAUAUGCGGACAAGGAGAUAAGUAUGAUUCAGCAAAAAAAAAAACAAAUUAUAAGCUAAGUCUGAUUAAGCUGUGCAUGUAAAUGUCUGAGACAAAGCAAUGAUGCUGUGAUGCUGACUUGAUUUUUGCUUGUUUUUCAGUUUUUAUCAUGUGCAACCUCUCAAUUUAACCGGCACUAUUCACAGUCAAAUUUUUCUGUAUACUAGAACCCCCAAAUUUACAAAAAGUGGGCACAUCCUUAGACCUCUGCAAUCAAUAUUAUCAUAUAUAAUGCAAAGGGAUGUACAUCAUUGAGUUAAAGUAUAUUGCCAGGAAAAUGGCAUCAAGAAGCAGGCUACCACCAAACACUGUAUAAUAACUGGACGUAACAUCAGUGGCGUCACUCAUUUCUUUGAGGCCAAUCGGCAGCAGUUUCCAUAAGGGCUGGGUGAUAAACAAAAAAGUUACCGAUACUGAAAUUUACAACAAUCAUCAUUUUGCCCAUAUCAAUAUAUUCAGUGUCAAAAUAAAUAAAUAAAAGUUGGUUUUGGAUGUGUGUAGGUAGGCUAUGGUCUCAUGUCCCUUCAAGACGCAGUCCUACGUCAGAGACAUGACUCCACCCCAUCCAGUCCGUGACAAAGAGGGAAAGACAGGUGAGGAGAUGGAGGACGGUUCAAAAGUUGUAGCGGCUGAAGUAGAGGAAGUUAAUGUGGGAGGGGGUGAGCAGCUUGUGAAGAAGUUAUAGUCCAUUUAUCAUUAUCAAGGUGAACUGCUCAAUAUAUCGGGAUAUUGAUUUGAGGCAUUAUCGCCCAGCUCUAGUUUCCAUACUGGUAAUGCUGAUCAACCUAUCAGAGGAGGGUCUGUGGCCUCCUUACAAAAAGCUACAGUCUGCCCGCCUGUCAAUCAAAUCAGCCACAACUUUCAUCACAAAAAUAUUCACUCCAAUCUUUCUCACUUCUGCAUCAGCUACAUUCCUCAAAACUCAAUGUGAAUCCAUGUGUAAAUUAAAGUACGGUAUAUUUUUUAUUAACACCCUGAUGAUUCGAAUUGAUGAUUCUACGGUCUAUUGGAAGGACGACGGCUCUCAUACUUGUACCUUUGACCCAUUUCUCAGUCACACACUUGCACGUAUUUGAAGCCAGUCUUUUCAAACUCUCCCUUUUCCAACACUACUCUCUCUGACACCAUAUUUCUUGGCUGUUUGACAGCUGUUUAAUGUCUCUGCUGCACUGAAAACCAUUUUCUUCAAAAUCGGCUCUGCCUCGGUCAUAAGUUGACUUGCCCUACUUUUAAGCAACUUCAUUUAACCUGCCCGUCCUCGUCUUAUCCCCCCCUGGAAUCUUUGUGGUGAGUCACAGCUGUCCUCAGUCAUGAGGGGAAGGUACACUUACUUUACAGAUUAGUGGAGCCGACCUGUCAAAUACUCAGGUCUUUAAAAAUCGUCUAACAAGACUUCUCCUGCUGUAAUGCCAGUAGUUACUAACCAAAUUCUUCCGUUUUAUUCUGCAGGGACCUGGCUGCAGAAUUUGUCAAAAACACACAAUAGUUGGCAAUGGGACUCACAGUUCC